GACGAACGCUGGCGGCGUGCCUAAUACAUGCAAGUCGCACGCUUCUUUCCUCCCGAGUGCUUGCACUCAAUUGGAAAGAGGAGUGGCGGACGGGUGAGUAACACGUGGGUAACCUACCCAUCAGAGGGGGAUAACACUUGGAAACAGGUGCUAAUACCGCAUAACAGUUUAUGCCGCAUGGCAUAAGAGUGAAAGGCGCUUUCGGGUGUCGCUGAUGGAUGGACCCGCGGUGCAUUAGCUAGUUGGUGAGGUAACGGCUCACCAAGGCCACGAUGCAUAGCCGACCUGAGAGGGUGAUCGGCCACACUGGGACUGAGACACGGCCCAGACUCCUACGGGAGGCAGCAGUAGGGAAUCUUCGGCAAUGGACGAAAGUCUGACCGAGCAACGCCGCGUGAGUGAAGAAGGUUUUCGGAUCGUAAAACUCUGUUGUUAGAGAAGAACAAGGACGUUAGUAACUGAACGUCCCCUGACGGUAUCUAACCAGAAAGACACGGCUAACUACGUG
Molecule: ribosomal RNA, 508 nt
Filed under: uncultured bacterium
Lineage: Bacteria
Description: partial 16S ribosomal RNA
Rfam family: Bacterial small subunit ribosomal RNA
Source: RNAcentral